GCAGAGGUGGUUCUGUGGUAGAAUUCCCACCUUCCAUGCAGGAGACACGGGUUAGAUUCCUGCCCGAUGCA
RNAcentral lists this transfer RNA (71 nucleotides) under Loxodonta africana (African savanna elephant). It matches the Rfam family "tRNA". From Rfam's summary of the family: Transfer RNA (tRNA) molecules are approximately 80 nucleotides in length. Their secondary structure includes four short double-helical elements and three loops (D, anti-codon, and T loops). The record is from Rfam by way of RNAcentral. Lineage: Eukaryota; Metazoa; Chordata; Mammalia; Proboscidea; Elephantidae.